UGCCUCUGCAGCCAUUGGCCAGUUUGCAUAAGGUAGGCGAAACAAAUACUGUGUGUGUAUAUAUAUGUGUGUGUGUGUGUGUGUGUGUGUGUGUGUGUGUGUGUGUGUGUGUGUGUGUGUGUGUGUGUGUGUGUGUGUGUGUGUGUGUGUGUGUGUGUGUGU
Molecule: long non-coding RNA, 162 nt
Filed under: Penaeus japonicus
Lineage: Eukaryota; Metazoa; Arthropoda; Malacostraca; Decapoda; Penaeidae
Description: uncharacterized LOC122252785
Source: RNAcentral